Molecule: non-coding RNA, 826 nt
Organism: Peromyscus maniculatus bairdii (prairie deer mouse)
Lineage: Eukaryota; Metazoa; Chordata; Mammalia; Rodentia; Cricetidae
Source: RefSeq, a predicted model, not a curated record
UCCUGAGGGCUGUGAUUACAGGGAUGUGUCACUGUACCACCUCAAUGUGACUCUUUAGAACAUAGUGGUGUGACUCUUUAGAACAUAGUGAUGUGACUCUUUAGAACAUAAUGAUGUGACUCUUUAGAACAUAGUGGUGUGACUCUUUGGAACGUCUUUUCAAGAUGAAGACCCCAGGGCCUUCAUGUUGUGUGUAAAAAAAGUGACCACGGUUUGCAUAUCCAUGACACAGCACAGGAUGCCCAAUAAAUAGCUGCUGUUGAAGUGAAGAAAGGCCACUUCUGUCAAACAUUUUGUCACAGUGAGGGAAAAAGUAAGCAAGGCCGAUUUCCACUCAGCAAAUCCCAGUGGAGCUCUGAAAGGGCCUGCUGUCCUUCACACUUCACAGAUGAGGCCCAGACAAGCCAAGGACUCAUUUGAGGUCAUCCAACUUGAAACCAUGACCUGUCCCCCAUGACCUGUCCUCCAUACUACUCCGGCUUGAACCAGGUAAUCAAGGCAAUUUUUCUCCUUCCCAUCCCUCCCCCAUUUACUCUUCUGCAUGCUGCACUCAUAGACAGGUUUAAUGCUGGCAUGGUGUAACAUCUGAGAGCUCAUGGGGCAGGUGCCCAGUCUCUUCCUGGAAGGACCUAGGAGGUCAGACUCUGCCAGCCAAACUCCACUGCCAAAGCAUCCUCCAGCUGGAACCAUGGCCCUGGUGACUCAACUCAAGGGCCCCUUGGCCAAGGCAGCCUGUGCCAGAGGACCCCAGCAUGGCUGAGGCUCACCGCUGACUCAUAGGGCAGGCUGCCACCACUCAAAUCACCCACUCCACCUCUGGCUGGAG